RNAcentral lists this small nuclear RNA (164 nucleotides) under Salvator merianae (Argentine black and white tegu). RNAcentral's name for it is "U1 spliceosomal RNA (ENSSMRG00000020553.1)". It matches the Rfam family "U1 spliceosomal RNA". From Rfam's summary of the family: U1 is a small nuclear RNA (snRNA) component of the spliceosome (involved in pre-mRNA splicing). Its 5' end forms complementary base pairs with the 5' splice junction, thus defining the 5' donor site of an intron. The record is from RNAcentral. Lineage: Eukaryota; Metazoa; Chordata; Lepidosauria; Squamata; Teiidae.
AUAUUUACCUGGCAGGGGAGGCACCGCGAUCAAGAAGGUGGUUUCCCCAGGGUGAGGCUUAUCCAUGGCCCUCUGGGUUUGUUGACCUCUGCAGUUUCCCCAAAUGCAGGAAACUCGACGGCAUAAUUUGUGCUAGUGGGNGACUGUGUUCGCGCUUUCCCCUA